RNAcentral lists this ribosomal RNA (305 nucleotides) under uncultured bacterium. RNAcentral describes it as "bacterial SSU rRNA". It matches the Rfam family "Bacterial small subunit ribosomal RNA", at positions 338 to 660 of the family's 1533-position model. The record is from RNAcentral.
CCUACGGGACGCAGCAGUGGGGAAUAUUGCACAAUGGGGGAAACCCUGAUGCAGCGACGCCGCGUGAGUGAAGAAGUAUUUCGGUAUGUAAAGCUCUAUCAGCAGGGAAGAUAACGACGGUACCUGACUAAGAAGCCCCGGCUAACUACGUGCCAGCAGCCGCGGUAAUACGUAGGGGGCAAGCGUUAUCCGGAUUUACUGGGUGUAAAGGGAGCGUAGACGGCGAUGCAAGUCUGAAGUGAAAGGCGGGGGCCCAACCCCCGGGCUGCUUUGGAAACUGUAUGGCUGGAGUGCAGGAGAGGUAA